Molecule: ribosomal RNA, 460 nt
Filed under: uncultured bacterium
Lineage: Bacteria
Description: partial 16S ribosomal RNA
Rfam family: Bacterial small subunit ribosomal RNA
Source: RNAcentral
CCUACGGGGGGCAGCAGUGAGGAAUAUUGGUCAAUGGACGAGAGUCUGAACCAGCCAAGUAGCGUGAAGGAUGACUGCCCUAUGGGUUGUAAACUUCUUUUAUAUGGGAAUAAAAUGUUCCACGUGUGGGAUUUUGUAUGUACCAUAUGAAUAAGGAUCGGCUAACUCCGUGCCAGCAGCCGCGGUAAUACGGAGGAUCCGAGCGUUAUCCGGCUUGAUUGGGUUUAAAGGGAGCGUAGGUGGAUUGUUAAGUCAGUUGUGAAAGUUUGCGGCUCAACCGUAAAAUUGCAGUUGAAACUGGCAGUCUUGAGUACAGUAGAGGUGGGCGGAAUUCGUGGUGUAGCGGUGAAAUGCUUAGAUAUCACGAAGAACUCCGAUUGCGAAGGCAGCUCACUGGACUGCAACUGACACUGAGGCUCGAAAGUGUGGGUAUCAAACAGGAUUAGAUACCCGUGUAGUC